RNAcentral lists this ribosomal RNA (358 nucleotides) under Mantidactylus katae. RNAcentral describes it as "partial 16S ribosomal RNA". It matches the Rfam family "Bacterial large subunit ribosomal RNA", at positions 1990 to 2516 of the family's 2925-position model. The record is from RNAcentral. Lineage: Eukaryota; Metazoa; Chordata; Amphibia; Anura; Mantellidae.
GGGUAAUAAGGCAUCCGAGGGUUACACUGUCUCCUUUUUCUGUCAGUGAAACUAAUCUUCCCGUGAAGAAGCGGGAAUAUCCCCAUAAGACGAGAAGACCCCAUGGAGCUUCAAACCCAAUUACACCCCUAACCCCUAUAACUACUUAACCCUUAGGAUUCUGUAUUAUUGGUUUUAGGUUGGGGCGACCACGGAGUACGACAAAACCUCCACAAUGAACGGAACUACUUCCUCAUCUGAGAGCUACACCUCUAAGAAUUAAAAUAUUAACAUAAAAUGAUCCAUUUUUGAUCAAUGAACCAAGUUACCCUGGGGAUAACAGCGCAAUCCAUUUCAAGAGCCCCUAUCGACAAAUGGG